This is an unclassified non-coding RNA of Cebus imitator (Panamanian white-faced capuchin), 108 nucleotides long. It matches the Rfam family "Y RNA". Rfam says of the family: Y RNAs are components of the Ro ribonucleoprotein particle (Ro RNP), in association with Ro60 and La proteins. The Y RNAs and Ro60 and La proteins are well conserved, but the function of the Ro RNP is not known. Lineage: Eukaryota; Metazoa; Chordata; Mammalia; Primates; Cebidae. The record is from Ensembl.
GGCUGGUCUGAAGGUAGUGAGUUAUCUCAACUGACUGUUUAGUUACAGUUGGAACUCCUUGUUCUACCAUUUCCCCCCUUCUCACUACCUGCACUUGACUAGUCCAAA